Molecule: small nuclear RNA, 122 nt
Filed under: Oesophagostomum dentatum (nodular worm)
Lineage: Eukaryota; Metazoa; Nematoda; Chromadorea; Rhabditida; Strongylidae
Description: U5 spliceosomal RNA
Rfam family: U5 spliceosomal RNA
About the family: U5 RNA is a component of both types of known spliceosome.
Source: Rfam by way of RNAcentral
AUCUCUGGCUCCUUUGCAUUUAACCGAGAAAAUCUUUCGCCUUUUACUAAAGAUUUCCGUGCAAAGGUGCAUCUUAUGAGUAUCAAGUAAUUAGCGAUGUUGUUGUUAAGCCGUGUACCAAG